Molecule: ribosomal RNA, 882 nt
Filed under: Triticum aestivum (bread wheat)
Lineage: Eukaryota; Viridiplantae; Streptophyta; Magnoliopsida; Poales; Poaceae
Description: partial small subunit ribosomal RNA
Source: RNAcentral
AUGCCCUACCGCCUAUCCAUAUACGCUGAUGAUGUCGUGGCCUUUCUCAACCCAUCCAAAACCGAGCUCCAUGCUGCUAUCGAGCUGCUCUCCUGCUUCCAACGGAUCUCCGACAUUCGAGUAAAUUGGUCCAAGAGCGCCGCCACGCCCAUCAGAUGCAGUCAUGGAGAGGCCGAGUGUGUGGUCAAGGAAUCUAACUGUGACAUUAGGAAGUUCCCGGUGACCUACCUUGGCUUGCCUCUGACUGAUGGGCGCCUGCGACGGGAGGACCUGCAGCCGGCCCUUGAUAGUCUGUCCAAGAGAUUGAGAGGGUGGAAAGCCAAGCUGAUUGCACUGCCGGGAAGAAUUGAACUAGUUAGAACCACCCUCUCCGCAAUGGCAAUUUAUCGGAUAAUGGCGAUUGCGCCGCCAAAGUGGUUCAUCAAGAUGGUGGAUAUGCUGCGUAGGGGCUUCCUUUGGGCGGCAGACGAGGUUUCCCCGGUUGGUAAAUGCUUAGUAAGAUGGAGCAAUGUCUGUCGGCCUCGAGAGCUUGGAGGGCUCGGCAUCCAUGACCUGCAGAGACAGGGAAGCGCCUUACGGGCCCGCUGGUGUUGGCUCACAUGGACUGAUAGAGACCGGCCUUGGGGUAAUCUGAUCCUGCCGAGUGACCCCGACGUGGAGGUUGUAUUCCGUGCCUCGUCAACAAUCUGCAUCGGCGAUGGGCGAACAACGUCGUUCUGGCGCUCGCAUUGGGCUGCGGGAAACAUACCGGCCGAUCGCUGGCCCAACCUGUACAAGCACUGCAACGGGAAACGGUUAUCCUUGAGAGCGGCGAUGCUUGACAUGAAGGAAAUAUGCCCUAUAGGCAAUAAUAAAGUUAUUAUUUAUUUCCUUAUUUCAUGA